ACCAGCCUGUGGCCAACAUGGCAAAACACCAUCUCUACUAAAAAUACAAAAAUUAGCCGGGCCUGUUGGCGCAUGCCUGUAGUCCCAGCUACUCAACUUGGGAGGCUGAGGCCAGGAAAAUCACUUGAACCUGGGAGGCGGAGGUUGCAGUGAGCUGAGAUUGCACCAUUGCACUCCAGCCUGGGCGACAGACUGAGACUCUGUCUCAAAAAAAAAAAAAAAAGAAGAAGAAGAAGAAGAAGAAUCCAUUUCCAUCAGCCCCCUUUCUGGAUGCCUAAUGGGCCUGUGGAAAGAAGGCUCUCUCAGCAGCUCCUUCGGAAGAAGGCCUGG
This 330-nucleotide long non-coding RNA is filed under the name Homo sapiens (human). Its description in RNAcentral is "non-protein coding lnc-PLEKHG6-5:1". The record is from RNAcentral. Lineage: Eukaryota; Metazoa; Chordata; Mammalia; Primates; Hominidae.